GAUGAACGCUAGCGGCAGGCUUAACUCAUUCUUUAGUUUGAGAGCGGUUAGUGGCGGACUGGUGAGUAACACGUAAGCAACCUGCCUAUUAGAGGGGAAUAACAGUGAGAAAUCAUUGCUAAUACCGCAUAUGCUAACAGUAUCGCAUGAUACAGUUAGGAAAGGAGUAAUCCGCUAAUAGAUGGGCUUGCGUCUGAUUAGAUAGUUGGUGGGGUAACGGCCUACCAAGUCGACGAUCAGUAGCCGGACUGAGAGGUUGAACGGCCACAUUGGGACUGAGAUACGGCCCAGACUCCUACGGGAGGCAGCAGUCGGGAAUAUUGCGCAAUGGAGGAAACUCUGACGCAGUGACGCCGCGUAUAGGAAGAAGGUUUUCGGAUUGUAAACUAUUGUCGUUAGGGAAGAUACAAGACAGUACCUAAGGAGGAAGCCCCGGCUAACUAUGUG
Molecule: ribosomal RNA, 447 nt
Filed under: uncultured bacterium
Lineage: Bacteria
Description: bacterial SSU rRNA
Rfam family: Bacterial small subunit ribosomal RNA
Source: RNAcentral